Molecule: non-coding RNA, 30 nt
Filed under: Rattus norvegicus (Norway rat)
Lineage: Eukaryota; Metazoa; Chordata; Mammalia; Rodentia; Muridae
Source: RNAcentral
UAUUGCUUCAUUGUUAUUUCCAUGAAAAGA